CCUACGGGUGGCAGCAGUGGGGAAUAUUGCGCAAUGGGCGAAAGCCUGACGCAGCGACGCCGCGUGAGGGAUGAAGGUCUUCGGAUCGUAAACCUCUGUCAGCAGGGAAGAACGGUCACUGUGCUAAUCAGCAGUGCAUUGACGGUACCUGCACCGGAAGCACCGGCUAACUACGUGCCAGCAGCCGCGGUAAUACGGAGGGUGCGAGCGUUAAUCGGAAUUACUGGGCGUAAAGGGCGCGUAGGCGGCAUGUCAAGUCAAAGGUGAUAUCCCCGCGCUCAACGUGGGAACUGCCUUUGAAACUGGCAAACUUGAGUGCGUGAGAGGAUAGUGGAAUUCCAGGUGUAGGAGUGAAAUCCGUAGAUAUCUGGAGGAACAUCAGUGGCGAAGGCGACUAUCUGGCACAUAACUGACGCUGAGGAGCGAAAGCGUGGGUAGCAAACAGGAUUAGAUACCCGUGUAGUC
RNAcentral lists this ribosomal RNA (465 nucleotides) under uncultured bacterium. RNAcentral's name for it is "partial 16S ribosomal RNA". It matches the Rfam family "Bacterial small subunit ribosomal RNA", at positions 338 to 795 of the family's 1533-position model. The record is from RNAcentral.